RNAcentral lists this small RNA (28 nucleotides) under Bombyx mori (domestic silkworm). Its description in RNAcentral is "ovarian small RNA-10741". The record is from RNAcentral. Lineage: Eukaryota; Metazoa; Arthropoda; Insecta; Lepidoptera; Bombycidae.
AAUACACAGACUUACCGGACAUUACCCA